UACGGAGGGGGUUAGCGUUGUUCGGAAUUACUGGGCGUAAAGCGCGCGUAGGCGGACCAGAAAGUUGGGGGUGAAAUCCCGGGGCCCAACCCCGGAACGGCCUCCAAAACUCCUGGUCUUGAGUUCGAGAGAGGUGAGUGGAAUUCCGAGUGUAGAGGUGAAAUUCGUAGAUAUUCGGAGGAACACCAGUGGCGAAGGCGGCUCACUGGCUCGAUACUGACGCUGAGGUGCGAAAGUGUGGGGAGCAAACAGG
This 253-nucleotide ribosomal RNA is filed under the name uncultured bacterium. Its description in RNAcentral is "partial 16S ribosomal RNA". It matches the Rfam family "Bacterial small subunit ribosomal RNA", at positions 524 to 776 of the family's 1533-position model. The record is from RNAcentral.